AACCAUUCUCACCUGCGGCUAGACCUGCGGAAGGAUCAUUACAGAGUGUAAAAACUCCCAAAACCCAUGUGAACAUACCUUUUUGUUGCUUCGGCGGGAUCGCCCCGGGCGCCUUGUGUGCCCCGGAGUCAGGCGCCCGCCGGGGGACCCAAACUCUUGUUUUUAACGAGUAUCUUCUGAGUAACGUUUUUAAAUAAAUAAAAACUUUUAACAACGGAUCU
Molecule: unclassified non-coding RNA, 221 nt
Filed under: soil metagenome
Description: partial contains 5.8S ribosomal RNA, internal transcribed spacer 2, and large subunit ribosomal RNA
Source: RNAcentral